RNAcentral lists this ribosomal RNA (497 nucleotides) under uncultured bacterium. Its description in RNAcentral is "partial 16S ribosomal RNA". It matches the Rfam family "Bacterial small subunit ribosomal RNA", at positions 28 to 507 of the family's 1533-position model. The record is from RNAcentral.
GAUGAACGCUGGCGGUGUGCCUAAUACAUGCAAGUCGAGCGAAUAGACGAGGAGCUUACUCCUCUGACGUUAGCGGCGGACGGGUGAGUAACACGUGGAUAACCUACCUAUAAGACUGGGAUAACUUCGGGAAACCGGAGCUAAUACCGGAUAACAUGUUGAACCGCAUGGUUCAACAGUGAAAGACGGUCUUGCUGUCACUUAUAGAUGGAUCCGCGUCGCAUUAGCUAGUUGGUAAGGUAACGGCUUACCAAAGCAACGAUGCGUAGCCGACCUGAGAGGGUGAUCGGCCACACUGGAACUGAGACACGGUCCAGACUCCUACGGGAGGCAGCAGUAGGGAAUCUUCCGCAAUGGGCGAAAGCCUGACGGAGCAACGCCGCGUGAGUGAAGAAGGUCUUCGGAUCGUAAAACUCUGUUAUUAGGGAAGAACAAAUGUGUAAGUAACUAUGCACGUCUUGACGGUACCUAAUCAGAAAGCCACGGCUAACUACGUG